CUUGAAUUUCAUAAGAGGUCCAGCCUGCCCAGUGACACAAUUAAACGGCCGCGGUACCCUGACCGUGCGAAGGUAGCAUAAUCACUUGUUCUCUAAAUAAGGACUUGUAUCAACGGCAUCACGAGGGUUACACUGUCUCCUCUUUUUAAUCAGUGAAACUGACUUUCCCGUGAAGAGGCGGGAAUAGAGAUACAAGACGAGAAGACCCCAUGGAGCUUUAAACCCAAUAGUUACCUCUAUUUACUACUACUACUUAAUCAAGAAGGCCUAUCUACUGGUUUUAGGUUGGGGUGACCCUGGAGUAAAACUUAACCUCCAUGAUGAAUAGAAUUUAUUCUAAUCCCAGAGCCACUGCUCUACGAAUCAAAAUUUUGACAUAAACUGAUCCGCCUAGCGAUCAACGAACCAAGUUACCCUGGGGAUAACAGCGCAAUCCAUUUCAAGAGCCCCUAUCGACAAAUGGGUUUACGACCUCGAUGUUGGAUCAGGGUAUCCCAGUGGUGCAGCCGCUACUAAAGGUUUGUUUGUUCAACAAUUAAAACCCU
RNAcentral lists this ribosomal RNA (545 nucleotides) under Limnonectes doriae (Doria's frog). RNAcentral's name for it is "partial 16S ribosomal RNA". It matches the Rfam family "Bacterial large subunit ribosomal RNA", at positions 1822 to 2597 of the family's 2925-position model. Lineage: Eukaryota; Metazoa; Chordata; Amphibia; Anura; Dicroglossidae. The record is from RNAcentral.